This is a long non-coding RNA of Daphnia magna, 370 nucleotides long. RefSeq lists it as uncharacterized. Lineage: Eukaryota; Metazoa; Arthropoda; Branchiopoda; Diplostraca; Daphniidae. The record is from RefSeq and is a predicted model, not a curated record. The transcript has 3 exons.
UGUUUACCCAUGGGUAAGAAAAUGGACGAUCUGCGAUCUGUCAGAUCCGCACCGAAAAUCAAAAUUACCUACUGAUGAGUGAUGAUCAGAACUUGUUCCUGUUUUUACAGGAGAACUGCGCUUCGAUUUUACCAUAGUUAUGUUAUGGUACUCUUAGACCGUCUAAGACAGACUCUGCUAUAACGUGCGUUUUCUCAACAAGCAAUUGGCAGUUUGGGCUGUGUAGAUCGAGAUUGAACGUUCUAUUUUGAUUGGUUCAAUGGAAUCAUCAAAUUGAACUGCUUUUGAUUUCAUACUCGUCCUCUGUGCAGGCGACACAUACCACUAUGAAGUCAAAAGUGUACGGGCAAUAAAUGUUAUGUUGUCUGGA